Molecule: long non-coding RNA, 430 nt
Organism: Astatotilapia calliptera (eastern happy)
Lineage: Eukaryota; Metazoa; Chordata; Actinopteri; Cichliformes; Cichlidae
Source: Ensembl
UGUCAUGGUCUGUGGAAUGCGUGAUGCUCGGGUAGCCACACCCCCGGGCUGGGCCAUCACUAGCACACCUGCUCUCCAUCCCGGUGAUUACACGGAGAUCCACUUAAUCCGGCGCUGACGGAUGCUCCACGCCAGUCCGUAGUCAUCCCCACAGUGAUUUCUACUCGGCGUCUGCUACCUGCCUGUCCUCCGGCUCAACUGGAUCUCGCGGCGCUCACCUGGCCCACUCGCCAUUCCACGGACUUCCUGCCCCCACGGACUGCCACACUUCCCUCCCGAGCUCCCACGGUUCCGUUCUAUCCCCCCCGCCGUCCCGAUCCCGGCUUCCUCGUGUCAUUGUUUCCCCGGAUUUUUAGUUUCUGUUUUGCUCUCUACUUUCCCCGGGUCGCCUUUCGUUGUUUUAAUAAAGUGUCUUUUUGUUAGCUCGGAG